This 27-nucleotide non-coding RNA is filed under the name Mus musculus (house mouse). The record is from RNAcentral. Lineage: Eukaryota; Metazoa; Chordata; Mammalia; Rodentia; Muridae.
UGGUGAGCCACCGUUUCUAAUUCGUUG